GGGUCGUUAGCUCAGUCGGUAGAGCAGUUGACUUUUAAUCAAUUGGUCGCAGGUUCGAAUCCCGCACGACCCAUCA
Molecule: transfer RNA, 76 nt
Filed under: Candidatus Profftia tarda
Lineage: Bacteria; Pseudomonadati; Pseudomonadota; Gammaproteobacteria; Enterobacterales; Enterobacteriaceae
Description: tRNA-Lys
Rfam family: tRNA
About the family: Transfer RNA (tRNA) molecules are approximately 80 nucleotides in length.
Source: RNAcentral